GCGUAAAUACCCAUUUGUUUGGGUAGUAUUUAUUAGAUACAAAACCAAUGCCCUUCGGGGCUCUUUGGUGAUUCAUGAUAACUAUACUAAUCGGACGGCCUUGCGCCGGCGAUGGUUCAUUCAAAUUUCUUCCCUAUCAACUUUCGAUGUUUGGGUAUUGGCCAAACAUGGUUGCAACGGGUAACGGAGGGUUGGGGCUCGACCCCGGAGAAGGAGCCUGAGAAACGGCUACUACAUCCAAGGAAGGGAGUAGGCGCGCAAAUUACCCAAUCCCGACUCGGGGAGGUAGUGACAAUAAAUACUGAUACAGGGCCCUUUCGGGCCUUGUAAUUGGAAUGAGUACAAUUUAAAUCCCUUAACGAGGAACAAUUGGAGGGCAAGUCUGGUGCCAGCAGCCGCGGUAAUUCCAGCUCCAAUAGCGUAUAUUAAAGUUGUUGUGGUUAAAAAGCUCGUAGUUGAACCUUGGGCCUGGCUGGCCGGUCCGCCUCACCGCGUGCACUGGUCCGGCCGGGCCUUUCCCUCUGUGGAACCACAUACCCUCCACUGGGCGUGGCGGGGAAACAGGACAUUUACUUU
Molecule: ribosomal RNA, 576 nt
Filed under: uncultured eukaryote
Lineage: Eukaryota
Description: SSU rRNA
Rfam family: Eukaryotic small subunit ribosomal RNA
Source: RNAcentral